RNAcentral lists this transfer RNA (74 nucleotides) under Planctomycetota bacterium. RNAcentral describes it as "tRNA-Cys". It matches the Rfam family "tRNA". Rfam says of the family: Transfer RNA (tRNA) molecules are approximately 80 nucleotides in length. Their secondary structure includes four short double-helical elements and three loops (D, anti-codon, and T loops). Further hydrogen bonds mediate the characteristic L-shaped molecular structure. tRNAs have two regions of fundamental functional importance: the anti-codon, which is responsible for specific mRNA codon recognition, and the 3' end, to which the tRNAs corresponding amino acid is attached (by aminoacyl-tRNA synthetases). tRNAs cope with the degeneracy of the genetic code in two manners: having more than one tRNA (with a specific anti-codon) for a particular amino acid; and 'wobble' base-pairing, i.e. permitting non-standard base-pairing at the 3rd anti-codon position. The record is from RNAcentral. RNAcentral also lists the same sequence under 1 other name. Lineage: Bacteria; Pseudomonadati; Planctomycetota.
GGCCGUGUGCCCGAGUGGUCUAAGGGGACGGAUUGCAAAUCCGUUAGUCGUGGGUUCGAAUCCCACCGCGGCCU